GCUCCGUGUUGAUGAGCCUCAGACGGCUGA
RNAcentral lists this small RNA (30 nucleotides) under Bombyx mori (domestic silkworm). Its description in RNAcentral is "ovarian small RNA-17073". Lineage: Eukaryota; Metazoa; Arthropoda; Insecta; Lepidoptera; Bombycidae. The record is from RNAcentral.